CGGAUGUUAGCUCAGCUGGCAGAGCGGUGGUUUGAAACACCACAGAUCCUGGUUCGACCCCAGGGCAUCCGA
This 72-nucleotide transfer RNA is filed under the name Halioglobus sp. HI00S01. It matches the Rfam family "tRNA". Rfam says of the family: Transfer RNA (tRNA) molecules are approximately 80 nucleotides in length. Their secondary structure includes four short double-helical elements and three loops (D, anti-codon, and T loops). The record is from Rfam by way of RNAcentral. Lineage: Bacteria; Pseudomonadati; Pseudomonadota; Gammaproteobacteria; Cellvibrionales; Halieaceae.